UACGUACCGUCCAAACGUUAUUCGGAAUUACUGGGCUUAAAGGGUACGUAGGCGGCGCUGUCAGUCGGGUGUGAAAGCCCUCGGCUCAACCGAGGAAUUGCGCCCGAUACUGCGGCGCUUGAGGGAGACAGAGGUAAGCGGAACUGAUGGUGGAGCGGUGAAAUGCGUUGAUAUCAUCAGGAACACCAGUGGCGAAAGCGGCUUACUGGGUCUCUUCUGACGCUGAGGUACGAAAGCUAGGGGAGCGAAGGGG
RNAcentral lists this ribosomal RNA (253 nucleotides) under uncultured bacterium. RNAcentral's name for it is "partial 16S ribosomal RNA". It matches the Rfam family "Bacterial small subunit ribosomal RNA", at positions 524 to 776 of the family's 1533-position model. The record is from RNAcentral.